AAGCGUUUAUGACCAGACUUGGGCUUGUUUAAUCAUCCGGGCUUCUGCCCGGUGCACUUGUUCAGCCCAGGCCAGCAUCAUUUUUCCCCGGGGGAUAAAGGCGGAGGGAAUGUGGCUCUCUUCGGGGAGUGUUAUAGCCCACCGUGUAAUACCCUGGGGGGGAAUGAGGUUCGCGCAUCUGCAAGGAUGCUGGCGUAAUGGUCAUCAACGA
RNAcentral lists this ribosomal RNA (211 nucleotides) under Fusarium sp. RNAcentral describes it as "partial large subunit ribosomal RNA". Lineage: Eukaryota; Fungi; Ascomycota; Sordariomycetes; Hypocreales; Nectriaceae. The record is from RNAcentral.